UGACCUCGGAUCAGGUAGGGAUACCCGGCUGAACUUAAGCAUA
Molecule: ribosomal RNA, 43 nt
Filed under: Umbilicaria hirsuta
Lineage: Eukaryota; Fungi; Ascomycota; Lecanoromycetes; Umbilicariales; Umbilicariaceae
Description: partial 28S ribosomal RNA
Source: RNAcentral